RNAcentral lists this long non-coding RNA (12816 nucleotides) under Phaseolus vulgaris (common bean). RNAcentral's name for it is "long non-coding RNA (PVUL_LNC002782)". Lineage: Eukaryota; Viridiplantae; Streptophyta; Magnoliopsida; Fabales; Fabaceae. The record is from RNAcentral.
CGCGCGUGUGACUCUUAGUACAGCUGACUCAUGCUUUGUUUCACCGGCAUUGGAAAGCUCGUGCCGGAGCGGCGACAGAAUCUCACCAGACGGCUGUGAUAUUGCACUUCUAUGGCUUCCGCCGUCUUAGCUAACCGGAACGAACCUAAUUGGCCGCAGCAUAGAGUCGGUGGAGCUGGAUUCAUGGGAAAAGCACCCUUCGCUAACCCUAACCCUAAUUCUAAUCCUAAAUUAGCAAAUAGCAAAAGGAACCAAUCGGCUUCGGACGAUGCUUCCUCUAUCAACAGGCGAUCCAACGAAGUAGUAACUCACUCCCAAUACGUGUCCUUCAACAUCGGAUCCUUAUCGAAGAAGGAACUCGGCGACAUCAAGAAUAGGCUUGUGUCGGAGCUCGAACAGGUUCAGAAAUUCAGAACUCGAAUCGAGUCAGGGGAGUUGCAACCUGGGCAGAGUUUCAAUGGCGGCCACCCGAAGAAAUCAUCGAGCAAAAAGGUUUCCGGUAACAAACGACCCCUGCCGUUGAAUUCCGCGAAGGAUUUUAAACGGUCGCUUCCGGAAGUUGGGAACUUGAUGAAGGGCUGCUCGCAGGUUUUGCAGAAGCUGAUGAAACACAAACAUGGGUGGAUCUUCAAUGUACCAGUUGACGCUGUCGGAAUGGGUCUCCAUGAUUACUACGAUAUAAUUAAACAGCCUAUGGAUCUCGGAACGGUGAAGUCCAAUCUCUCCAAAAACAAGUACUCGGCCCCUUCGGAUUUCGCCUCUGAUGUGAGGUUAACUUUCAAGAAUGCACUGACUUAUAACCCUAAGGGUCACGAUGUGUACACCAUGGCGGAGCAGCUUUUGACGAGGUUUGAGGAGCUUUAUCGCCCGAUGCAUGAGAAAUUCGAAGAUUUGGUUGGACAUGAUCGUGAUUUCGAGGAGGAAUUGCAGGCCAGUUCGUGGAGCCACGUUGAGCCAGAGAGAGUGAAGAAGAAGGAGAAUCUGAUCCCUCAUGCGAAAUUUCAACAAGAGCCUCCUCAGCCUCCUGCAAGUUCUUCUAACCCUCCUUUGCUGCAGUUCCCCGUGCGCACACCUUCUCCCAUGCGAGCCCCACCCGUUAAGCCUUUGAAGCAACCUAAGCCGAAGGCUAAGGAUCCCAACAAGAGGGAGAUGAGUCUUGAAGAGAAACACAAGCUUGGGUUAGGACUGCAGAGUUUGCCAGCAGAGAAAAUGGAACAGGUGGUGCAGAUCAUAAGGAGGAGGAACGGGCAUUUGAAGCAGGAUGGGGAUGAGAUCGAGCUUGAUAUUGAGGCUGUUGACACAGAGACCCUUUGGGAACUUGAUCGGUUGGUGACUAAUUAUAAGAAGAUGGUUAGCAAGAUUAAGAGGCAGGCAUUGAUGGGCAACAACAAUGUGGCUCCACACAAAGCCAAUAUGGUAUAUCUUCUACCAGUUUGAUCACUUUAUUUUUGGGCUCGAAUUCUUACUUAGCAUUGACAGUAAUGUCGUUACCAGUAACUAAUUUUUGGUGCUUUAUUUGACAGGAAUUGCCUGCCGGUGAGAAGGCUGAUGGGAUGCCAACUGAGUUGAAGAAGCCAAAGAAAGUGGAAGCAGGAGAUGAGGAUGUUGACAUUGGGGAUGAGAUGCCAAUGAGUAUGUUCCCGCCUGUGGAGAUUGAGAAAGAUAAAGAUGUUGCUGGUGGCCAUGCAACCAGUAGUUCUAGUAGCUCUAGCGGUUCAAGCAGUGAUUCCUCAUCGUCAAGUGGUAUUCCCCUGCCUUAGUGUAGGCUUUGGUUUGUGGUUGAAACUAUUUUUCUGAGGAAAAAACUUAAAAAAAAGUUUUAUUGCCAUUGCAGAUUCGGAUUCCGGGAGUUCCUCAGGAAGUGACUCUGAAGCAGACAAUGGGCAUUCGUAGCAGUGAGGGAUAUUUGUUACUAGUGGUCAAACAUGAUCAUGCGGGUGGGUGGAUGAAGAAAUGCAUGCUUCAUUGGCUUCCUUUGAGGGUGAGGAUUGAAAACAUGGACAAGGUAUGCCCAUGUCAUUUUGUAUAUUAUUCUUUUGGUGCAGUGAGAUUUUUCAGAGAUGGAAUGAUUGGCUGGCUAAAUUUGCGAUUAUCUUUCAUUUCAGGGAUUGUGAUAGUUGUUUGUUUUGUGAGUUGGUUUCGGGAGUGGCGGUUUGGAUUGUGGAGCUGGACACCUGCUCGAGGAUUUGGGUGUGUUAUAAAUCUGUACAAAUAUAUUCGGAACCUAAAGUUAUCACCAAAACGAUUUGUAGGCCAGAACGUUGACUGAAAUGUGAAAAUCCUAGGAUAGACUCGUUGAAGAUUUAGGAAUAGAAUGCAGAGAAUUAAUAUUUGAGUUUUACCUUGUACACAUUAGCAACGGUAUAUAGAUUGAACUUCUCUCUUUCAAAUCCAUUUUGUGGAUCUGUGCAUUGGAUUUUUUGAAUCGUUAAUCAGUCUAAUGACCGAGGUACGAAAAAGCUACGAAGAUGAAUCAAUUGAUUUAAGGUCGUCCAAUCAGACAGGGUCGUGGUUAUACCUCUAGUUACGGAUUAUUCCUGUGUGAAGAUUUGCUAGAUGCCACGUGUGGUCCCCGAAGAAUCAAAACAUUCCUUCGGUGGUUCAUGGCUACAGAAUUCAGCCUUUUUAAAGAGAGGCAUAACUGAGGCGUUUAUACGUGGAAGGGGUUUGAAGUGCUUGAGAUGCCUCGGGACUGUUAUCAGUUUACUGGUUGUGGAGUUUUGGUACUUGUCUACUAAAAAAUAAUCAACUUCAGAGUGGGAUAGGAUUUAACAUUGGAUGGAAUAUAUAAUACCUAUUGCCUACUAGACGGGGAAGACACAAGAUUCAUCCUUCUCCAAUGGGCUAUUUUCUUCUUUGUGGCCAAUUUUUACUUAGGAUAAUUUUUUAGAAUGUGUAUGAUUUUUUGUGCCUUCACUUAUUGCCCAUCAUAUGGAGAAUACUAUGAAACAUAACAUGGAUGGAUCGGUCUAUCAAGGCUCACUCAGGUAGUGCUUAUGUCUGGGGCUCUCAUUGUGACAUUGGCAUUUGUUCGACAACAGUUAAAGCUGUACGUUGGCAUUUGUUCGACAGUAAAGGCUGAGCUGCGGGGUCUGUGGCACGGUUUAUAAUGCUCUUUUAAUCCUUAAAUGUCACCAACGAUUUUGUUGAAAUGGAUUCUCAAGUAGCUUUGUACUUGAUCUGGUGCGGAUAUGAAUUUUUCUCUGUUGUUUUUCUUCUUGUCAUGAGCAACCGGGAGCUGGUUGGCACAUUACUUUCUUGUUAACUAUGGUAAUUCUGUAAACUUCUUUGUUCAGGUUUUCCUGCCAUCGAACUCCCUUCCCUGGUAUGAUUGUGUAAUCUGUUCUGUUGGGCAUUGCGGCUUAUUUCAAUUACGAAAAGAAUGAAAACCUGUUUCCUCAUGAAUAUAUUACUAUUUGACAUUGUUUUUUUAUUGUCGGGGGGAGACCACAUUAAGAUUUAUUCAUAAUAAACUAAGCUUAUACCAAAAAGGUUGAAAAUCAUACCCAUUUAAAGUUUAAUAAAGUUGAUUUUGAAGUGAUAAAUGUGGUAGAAUGUUUGUUUAAAUAAAGGAUGGAGAAUUGAUCUUUAGAUGAUAUGAUAGAAACAGACAGCAAUCCGUCAUCCAUUCCUCUAUCAGAAUUCAGAAGCUGCAGAAUGGGCAUGAGCAGUCUGUGUCAACCCAUUACUAAUAUUUCAUUCUCAUUCAUUAAGUCUUGGUCAUCACUUUCUGCAUUCCAUGUCUUUAAUUUUCCCUAAUGACCCAUUUUGCCCUCUGCAAAUGCUGUUUCUGUUUUCAUUUAACCUUUUUAAUCUUAUUUCUUUCCUUAUGCGUUGGUAGUAGUAUUAUAAAAAUGGAGGAUAAACCUUCUAAAACAUACAAGACCAAUUCAUCUCAUGAAGUAAGAAACUUGGUAAUCCAAUUUGAGUUUAUCUAACAACAGUGAUGAUAAAAUUAUUCUUUUAACGUUUUAUCCCCAUGCUCAUCCUCAUCCUCGUAGUCUUACCCUUGAAGUAGAGAAACACAUUGUCCAAUCUCACUUUUGUUUUGUACCAAGUGAACAAACACAUUUACUAAAUAUUAUACGUAUUUGAAGUUUCGUAAAUAAUUAUUUAUUCUGUAAUAUCUUUGGUUUAUCUUUGAAUUCAAACAUAAAUCAAAUAGUGUAAAAGAAAUCUAAAACCAAUUAUAUACUAAUAUAUUCAAAAUAUUAAAUUAGGAAUUUAUAAUAAUUAUAUAUUCUAUUAUUAUAUGUUCAGAUCACAUUAAUUUUAAACGUAAAAGGUUUCAUAAAAACAUGUGUAAAGUAACUAAAUUUUGAAUUUGAUUUAUAAUGAAAUAUAUUUUUUAUUGAACGUAAAUCAAUAGUUUCUAAGAGAUGGUCUCAACUUGAGACUUGAAUUGAUAACACGAGUUUCAUUUAAACGGAUUGGUUUAGAUUGAAAUCGAACACAAAGAAUAGCAGUAAAUACAUGUUUAAGCUCUAAUAUAAAAAUGAUAAAAAAAAGUUAAAAAUAUUGAAAGUAAUACUUGACUUUAUUAUACAUAAAAAAAAAUACUUACCCGCAAAGAUUAAUGUAUUUUAAUUAUGUAUAAAUAAAUACUUUUUAACUCAUUUCACACGCACACAAAUAAUAAUAAUAAUAAUAAUAAUAUGAAAUAGUAACAAUAAUAAUAGUUAAGAGACAGUGGCAGUAGAUGGUAGUGCAUUAAUAUCUAUCUGUCAUACAUACAUGUAUUUAGAGGAUGGAAAGAUGAAUUAAUGACAUUAAUUAUAUGUAUUUGUAGUUUUAAAUGCUAAGCUUAAUUCAUAUUAAAAAUGUAUUACACUUAUUUUCACCUCUAAAUAGAAAAGUAGAAACCAUGGCACCAAAAUAAUUAAGGGUUGAAUUGAAUUAUGUAUUUUAAUUUUUAGCAGCCGCCAGAACCUGAGACAGUUUAUGUUGUUUUUAAAUUAAGUUUUGAGCUUAAAAAGGAAGUGCUCAUUACACAUCUUCAAUCCGUCAAAUCCCACCCCGUUUAUUCUUCCUUUGCUCAUCAUCGUAGCCGUUUUAAUUUGGAACAAAAGUUUAUUAAAACUGUGAAACUAUAUGUGUUUCAUUAUUAUUAAAUUAUAUGAUAAGAGUUAAAAAAAUGUUAAUAUUAAUUUUGUUUUUUUAUAAUUUUUAGCUAGAGGUGUAUAAUUUUUAUUUUGUUUAUUUUAAUUCUAAUAUUUAUUAAUUGACUCUUGUUUCUUUAUUUUUUUUUCAUACAUUACUUAUCUAUAUUCAGAUUAUUUAUUUUGAUUUUAAUUUAAAAAAAUAAAUUAUUAUCAUAUUUUUAUUUUUUAUUUAUCUCUAUUCUAAUUUAAAAAUAAUUAUGUGAUUCCAUGACAUCACAGGGGAAUUGUGUUUAACCAUUUUUGUCUUGAGAUUCAUCCAUAGAUUCAGGGCGUUAUUGAUGGAAGCAUACAAAAACUGUGGUUAUCGCGUAAUUGCAACAUUAUCAUGCUACUUUAAUCGCUAAUCAUCUCAUCCUCAUACUUCUAAACUAACAUGCUAAAUGUAAUUAUCAACUCAGAAAUAUCUUACUAUAAACAAUACUAUUAGAAAAUACUUUUUAAUCCGUCUUACUAUUUCGCAAUUUCUAUUUCUUUUGCUUAAUUUUUUAAUUACUCUCAUGUUAUAUUUACAUCAUUCUUUUGGUUUAAAAUUACAAUACGUUUUAAAAAUAUAGUACAAGAAACACUUUAAUGUAAUAUUUAUGCUAAAAGGAAUUAACAUUUCUUAAAUUUAACUUAAAAUAAAUAUAUAAUUUAUAUUCCAUGGCGAUACCAAUAGACAGAAGAUCAAAUAUGAAAUAAAAAAAAAUCACUAAAUGACUAAAAAAAACCUAUUUUAUUUAAAAUUUAAAUAAGAAAAACAGUCACACACAUUUUGAGAUCAAUGAGAAAAUGAUAACCAUAAAUGGUAAAUAAAGAAAAUGUUGAUCACGCAUUCGAAAUGACCAGACAAAAGUAAACGACGCAAAGAGUAAAACAAAAUUGGCACAAAAGGAAGCAAAAAAAAAGUGUAGCAACCUCAAUGUUGUAAAGGGAGUGAAAGACAAGUCCAAGUACUCAUACAAAAUAGUUUAAUUCAAAAUUUAAAUGUGAAAUAUUACUAAUUUAUCUGCUAACACUCAACUCAAAUAAAAUUUAUUUUUUAGUGAAAAAUAAUUCCCAAUGGCAAUACUAAUUUUUAACAGCACUUAAAGAAGUCUAUAUGUGGAAGUUAAAUGAUAAUAGGUAAAUGAACACUACAAAACUAACUAUUUCUUCUAUAAAAUCGCUGAAUAUUAAUUAAUAUGAUACUAAAUUAUUUAACAAUUAGUAAGUUAUAUGUGUAGGUGAACUAAUCUUAAAUUUAACUACUAUUAUUAUUAUUAUUAUUAUACAAAAUAAUAAAUGUGUGUUUCUAUAGUGUUAAAAUUUAGUUAAACGUUUAUCCUAAAUCAAUAUUUUUACAUCAUAUCUUAUAAAUAUUAAUCAUAUCUUACAAAACAAAUGUUAUAUAUGUUGUUAUAAGGGUAAAAUAGUCAAUUAAUAGUUAUGAGAUAUUAGGAUCAAUUGAUGGAUAAGGACAAAAUAGAGUAAAAUUGUUAGUCAAAUGACACAUAGAGUCGAGAACAUGAAAAUUAAUCUCAACCAACAAAAAUGACAAUAAAAAGUUGAUCAAUCAAACUUCAAGAAGCAUAAGGAUGACAAAUCAUUUAUAAUUAUCUCUCUCCUUCACUCUUAGGGGAUUAUUUUCUUUAAUAUGUGUACUAACAUUCACUAAGUUAGUGAAUAUUUUUCUCUCUUGUAAGAAACUUUUGUGACACGAAAUAUUGUUUCUUUCACCCUCUCUUUUCCACCUUGUAUGUGAGUAUAACACAUGUGUAUUUAUAAAUAUAAUGAUAAAUAAAUGUUUAUUCUAGAUCAACAUGUUUGUCAUUCCCUACCAUAUUGUCCUUCUACUAAUAAUUUUAAAUUAAUUUGUUUGUUACGAAAUCCUCCUUUACUAAUGAUUUUAAAUAAGUGCUUAUGAAGUAUGAUACGAGCUUACACAUUUUUCUAGUGGAUAGUUUAUAUAGAUUUUUUUAUUAAUUUAAGUUUCUUUUAAAAAUUAAAAUUUGGUUAUAAUACUUUUUUACAAAGGUAUGAUUAGUCCUUUAAAUAUGAUGAAAAUUCAUAGGAUUCUUUUCAUAUUCUUUUACAAAUUUUGUUUUUUAUAAACAAAUAAAAUGACUUUAAGUCUAAUUCAACUUUAUAAAACGUAUAAGGUGAGGUUUGUGCCUACUUAUAAAUUAUGAAAUGUUUUAAUCUCUAGUUUAUGUGGAAUUUCCAACAUAUAUUUAGAGUAUCAACUCGUGCGUGAGACUGGGUCGGAUAACGGGUGACAUGAUAAACCCAACAAACUCUUGUUAUGAUAGACUUUGAGAUGACUCUGAUACCAUAUUAAAGAGUGAAUUUUUAAGUUUAACUCAACCUCAUAAAAUUGGCUUAUAAGGUGAGGUUUGCACUUACUUAUAUACUAUAAAAUGUCAUAAUCUCUAGUUAAUGUGAAAUCUUCAACAAAUAAAAUUUAUAUUUUUUAUUCAAUACGAGACGGAGAUAAAAAAAUCACACACAUAUAUAUAUAUAAUCCAAAAUACUCAUUUAAUUUAUCUCUAAAAUUAUAUAAUAAAUAUAAUGUUUUGCCACUCUUAACUACGUCUCUCCAAGUUUGCUUACUCACCACUGUUUUUAAAUGGACCAUAGUCUGUAUUUCUUUUUUUGCAUCGUAACUGUUUAAAAUUAUAAUUUUAUAACUAGAUUUAUUUGUGUAUUCUUUUAUUAAAAAAAAGUAACAUACAUACAUGUAUGUUUUUAAAAAUAUUAUAUUUUUUUCUUUAAUAUUUUUGUCUUUCUAAAAUCUGAACAUAUUUUUAGAUCCUACUAAAAUGUAAAUAUAUAUAAAAAAAAUCUUAAUAUACUAUUAAUUAUACAUUUAAAUAAAAUAACUGUAAAAUUCAAAUAUUAAAGUCGUGAUCAAUAUUAGUUUUCUGUCUAUUAUUACUACUAAUAACAAAAAAUAUUUAAACUUUAAAGAAACAGAGUAAUAUGUAUUUUUAAGAAAUCUAUUUAAAAUUUAACAAGUAUAUAAAUACAUUUUACCCAAAAAUAAAUAGCAUUGUAACUUAUUGUUAUUUUAAAGUGUGAAAUUUAAAAAUAAAUCUUGAAAUUUAUGAACUUUGGAAAGAAUUGCUACGUUUUCUUUACAGUUGCCAAUGACUAUGUGAUUUUUUUUAAUUGUUUACAUUCUUAUGGGCAAAAUAUUUUUUUCCAUCUCUAUAAUUCCAAUAACAUUAUUAUCAUCUUCUAUAUAAUAUACUAUUAAUACUUACAAUGGUUUUUAAAUAAUUUUUUUAUAAAUUUGUUAUAUGAAAAAAGAAAUAGAAGCAAAAUAAAUAAAUAAAAAACUGUAUAAUUAUUUUAUCAAAAUAAUAUAUUUUAGUAUGUUGAUUGAUUCUUACGAAAAUAUAGAAAACAUAAAAAAUGAGAGAAGAGAAAGUAAUUAACACAAAAUCAUUCAAAGAUGGGUAAAAUUGAAUGUGGUGACUGUAUAAAAAAAAUGAUAAGAGGCAUGCAUGUGGCUUCCAACUACAAAUCUCAACAAUAUUGGGAUUUCAAAACCCUCUUUUAAAUGCAUCACAAAGCAUUCAAUGCUAUAAAUAUUUUGGAUACCUGUAUUUUUUUUAAAAUAUAAAAGAUAACACCAAAGAGUUAAUAUGCAUGGAUGAAUAUCCAAAAAAUAUAUAAAAUAUAUACAUUGAUAUUGUUUAUGUGCUUCAAUAACCACUUAUCCUUUUACGAUAUUUAUGUGAAUAUGAUUUAUUGUAAAUUUAAAAUUAGGACUAUAAAUGUUUAAAGAUCUCACCGAAAUAGGAAUGUUAAUUUAUAGUAUAUAAAUGGGAUAACUCUUAUCUUAUAAGAUGUUGAUUUUGUAAUAAUGAGUUAGAAUUAACCAUAUGUCCUAAUAUGAUAUCAGAGUUAAUCAUGUUUUGUUACACUACUUAUUAUAACUUAUUUAUUACAAAUAAUUUAUAAUUUCUACCUUAAUUUUUUAGAAUUAUUGGUACUAAUCAUAAAAAUUACUUUUUACAAAAUUUAUAAAAGUGUGUAUAUUACAUGUGGUUAGUUUUCUUUAUCUUUUUCAAGUCACUUACUUUGUAAAUUUGAAAUAAAAAAAAAAUGUAUUCAAUUUAUAAGGUAACUUUUCUUUGUUGUGGUUGAGAGGAUUCAUACAAAAUUUUAUUUCUCCAUAUAUAACAUGGACAUACUUGUUUUGCUUUAAAUACUAUGAUAAGGUGGUUCAACUUCUCUUGAUACUACCUUAAUCCAUUUUCAAGCAAAUUAUUGCAUGUAAAAUAAGUGAAAAUAAAAAUUUAAUUUUUUUAAGACAAUUAAUUUAUUUUAUUAUUAAACUAAUGCCAAUAUAUCAUAAAGUAACAAGAAGAAGUAUCUUCAAUCCAAACAUUUCCACCCAAUUUAAAAACUAACUUAAAAAAUUGAUAGGUCGAAAGAUCGAAUGACUUAUUAAAUUGUGCUUAAUGUAUUUCUUAAAGUAGUGACACAUAAAUAUAGCAAAAAAAAUAUUAAUUAUUAACUAAAGUCAAAAUUAUAAAAUAAAACUUAAUUAGUGGACCUAUUCUAAAGUGAAAAAAAGGUAAUAGAUCCAUCAAGUCUAUUAUUGAUUAGUAUAAAUAACAAUGCAUUUAAUUCAAUAGUUAGAUAAUUAAUAAAUAUUUAAGAACCAAAACCGACUUAAACAUAAGUAAAUUCCUAUAGGUAUCUCCACCCUUUGAAUCAUCAUACCAAGAGGUUGAUAACACACACCCUAUUGUUGUAAAAAAAGAAUACGAAGUUGCUGAAAAAGAAGAUCAAGUAACUGAAAUUAUUAAUUAAAAAACAUAUGAGAUUUAGUUGAAUAUACUCUCCACACAUAUUUUAUAUUUUAUAAGAAUAAUUACCAUUAAAGUUACAUAUUUAGAAAUUCACGCAAAACUCAAUUCACAUUUAUUUUCUUGUUCUUUAUCCAAAAUGUGGGUAUUAUAAUUAGAACAAUUGUAUUAGCAGUUGAAUUGAAUGAGUUUAAUUUUUUAAGUAAUCUAAUUUGGUAAUGUCAUAAAUUUCUAAAAGUAAUGAACUUAUAUUGCCUAUUUUACAAUUAACAAAGCUGUAUAAUUUGGCAAGACAACAUAUUUCUAAAACUAUUAAUCUUCUUAUUUAUUGGCCUAUUAGAGAAUUUUCCAUCUCUACUUUAACAUUUAUUAGCUUUGGUCACAUAUGCAGUAUCUAUAAAAGCAUAUAUUUGUAGAUUUUGUUGCUGUAAGGAGACAUUUAUUACAAAAUUAAUGUAUAUUACUUUUGAUAUAUUUUUGAAAAAAAGGAAAAAUAAAUUUUAUUAGAACUAAAUUAUUGGUAAAACGUCCAUAACUUCCACCAAUGUCUCAUUAUGUCUUUUACAUGACACCAGCAAAACAAUUAGCCAAAUACAAUAAAAAAUAAAAUACACAUUCUAGAGCAAUUAUUCCAAACAUAAAAUAAAUUGGAUUUAUCACUAAUAGAAGUAUUGUUCUCUUUGACCUUUAAUUUUAGACAACUCCAUGAUUUAUGAAUUGCUUUUCAUUCAGAAAUUUCUAUAGUUAAAUAUUUUUUGUGGAUAAAUUUAUACAACAAAACUAUCUAAAAAGGGUUAUUUCAGAUAAAAUCCAUUUUUCACAAUAACUAUGUUUAAUUGGUUAAUAGAUAAGUUAAGUCAUAUUAAAAAAACAUCAAAACUAGCAAUUGUAUAGGUAGUUUGAUUAUGUACUACACAUAGUCUAAUUGGUCAAUGAGAAAAAAAGAGUAGCAAUUACACUUAGUUCCUUAUUUUUAUGCAAAACUAGACAAAUAUUGUAUUAUAUAGUUUUGGUCUAAUUAAAAGACUUUGAGUGAUAUGAAUGAAAUUUAAAAAAUUAACCUUAUUAUUGGCAUUGUAUUAAAAUGUGAUAACUGAUAAAGAAAAGAUAAGGUUUGUUAUUUAAAUUGUAAAAUAAGUUUAUUAAAAUUACAGGAUGAUAUGUAACAUAAAUAUUAUUUUAUUUACUUGUUAAAUAAUUUAUUUUUUAGUUUUUAUAUAAACUUUUAAUCCGAAUACAUCUCUUUGUUUUUUUCAAUUACACAUUCUUAUUUUUUUGUUCUUUUUGUUUUAUCAUUUAAAUGUACAUUUCAUCACACCCCUAUCAACCUAAGGCAUAAACAUUUCCUUCUCAAUCAUCUCAAAUUAUUAUUAUUAUUAUCUAUAGUAUUCAUACUUGCACUUUGUCUCUAAAUUGAUUUUCAAUAUUUUUUAGAGAAAACCAUAGUCAAUUAACCAUAACAAUUUAAAUUAUUCAUUUCAAAUAUACUUUAUAUACUUAAAUAAUUAUUUAUAUAGAUUGUAAUACAAUCUAUAUGUUAAAAUAUUUGUUUAAGACAACUUUAGUUAUAUAAAAUGUUAAAAUUCUCCUACAGAUCUUAAAACCAAGAAAAAAAAGUGGCACCUGAAUUUUAAUAUCACUGGAACAAAAAAUCCUUUUUUCAGUCUCUUAUAAUGAGAGGUUGCUACACCAUCUCUAUAAUUAAUUAAAAUAAUUGAUAAUAAUAUUUUUUAAUGAUUAAAUUGAGAAUUUAGUUUUUUGACACCUUGAUUUUGAAGGUAGUUUUUAAAAUUGAAAUAGUAUGAAAUGUUUGAAUAUUUUCUUAAAUAAAUAAAUGAGAUAGUAAAAUUGAGUAUGCAUUUUUUGAGAUUUGACAGGUUCUAAAUUGAUAAGUGAGUUAGAUUAUUUUUUAUUUUUGUGUGAGAAAGAAAAAUGAUAGUCCAAAAAAUAAUAAAAAGUAGCAAUGUGGGUGAUAUUAUAAUUAGGUGAAAACAUAAGAAUCAAAGAACAAGUCUUCUUCCAAAUGAAACAUGAUUUCCUAUAAUACCCUUCACACUGACACGCGUUUUCCUGGUAACCACGCGCUGCGCGUAACUUCCCUCCCACACGCUGGAAACGCCAUUUUGGCCUCUAUCCACGUCACCAAUGUGGGCCCAAUCCACUGUCAAACCCUAAAUGCACAACACAUUCACUCUAAAUGCAUUUCAAACUCAAAUCCAAAUAAAAAACGGACCUCCUCCAUCUACCGGUCCAGAAUGCAACACGUGGAAGAAUAAAGAAAUCACCACCCUCUGUGCCAGAUCUUGCGGUCAGCUUUUGGGACAGCUGAGAAAAAAAUUUGAUCCGUCAGAUGAUGAAUCAAGAACGAAUGAACGGUGGAUAGAGCUUCCCGGAGCACCCACGGGCAGAUCUCAUUGCCUUUAAGAAGCGGCUCUUGCCCCUUUCAUUCCUCGCACAGAUUAGGGUAACCCGAGCUACAAACCCUGAACGCUACGUCUAAACUUUCCGGUUUUCUCUUUCAAAUUAGUGUCUCUGCCGGCGGUGCGUGAGGGUUUCCGACAGCGCGUGAAGGUACUGGUCGCGCGUGAUUCCCAGUUCACCGCUGACCUAUGCGUUGUUCGACCCACAUUGGAGAGUUCACGCCGGAGAGACGGUGGAAUCUCACCGGACGGCCGUGAUUUCGCACUUCUAUGGCUUCCGCCGUCCUUGCUAACCGGAACGAACCUAAUUGGCCACAGCAUAGAGGCGGUGGGGCUGGAUUCAUGGGAAAAGUACCUUUCUCUAACCCUAACCCUAAUUCUAAUCCUAAAUUAGCAAAUAGCAAAAGGACCCAAUCGGCGUCCGACGAUGCUUCUUCUAUCAACCGGCGAUCG